This is a long non-coding RNA of Bubalus bubalis (water buffalo), 692 nucleotides long. RefSeq lists it as uncharacterized. Lineage: Eukaryota; Metazoa; Chordata; Mammalia; Artiodactyla; Bovidae. The transcript has 4 exons. The record is from RefSeq and is a predicted model, not a curated record.
AUGCGCGCGCUUCGGCGGCAAGCUCAGAGGCCAGAAGGGGAGGCGGGAGAGGGCGGGCGAGGACUUCGGCGCAGCCGCAGUGAGCCGUCUCCUGGCCCGCUGGACAGCGGCUGUCUGGCUGUUGGCCAUGGUCCGGGAGCGGACUGGGACCCUGGACCCCCCAAGAGCGUGACUCCUCGAGGCGGAUCCUUCCAGGUCACCAGGUUGGAGCAAGCACCCACUCCAAGGACAGUCCCUAUUCUCUGGAUCCUUAAGCUCGGAAAACUGGAACUACAGAGCUUCGGCCUCCUCUCUGUGAAUUUCUCCAGUCCAGUUUUACUCAAGGAAGUCCAGCUUUUUCAUCAGGCAGUUUCCACCACGCAGUGUGGCCUGGGCGGGACUUCUGGAGCAGCUCAUGGUCUUUAUACUGAAACCUCUCUCAGGUGGGAGAAGCUAACAGCGGACGAUGGUAUGCUGCCCUCGAGCAUGCAGACCCCAGACCAGUUGGAACCUGAAGGCUGAUGGCGCUGACUCCCACUCACCUCACGACCAACCCCUCAGAAGCAUGUCCGCAAGCUGAUCACGCCCUCUUUGAACCAUUGCUGUAAAACUUCUCACUAUCCUAAGUGGGGACAUGUAGGUUUUCAAGGCAGAAGCCCACUGUGUCCCCCUUUGCCUGGCAAAGUAAUAAAGCUCUCCUUUUCUACUUCACC